RNAcentral lists this ribosomal RNA (497 nucleotides) under uncultured bacterium. Its description in RNAcentral is "partial 16S ribosomal RNA". It matches the Rfam family "Bacterial small subunit ribosomal RNA", at positions 28 to 507 of the family's 1533-position model. The record is from RNAcentral.
GAUGAACGCUGGCGGCGUGCCUAACACAUGCAAGUCGAGCGGACGGACGAUAAGCUUGCUCCUCUAAUGUUAGCGGCGGACGGGUGAGUAAGACGUGGAUAACCUACCUCUAUUUCUGGGAUAACUUCGGGAAACCGGAGCCAAUACUGGAGCAUACUUUGAACCGGAUAGUUCAAAAGUGAAAGACGGUCUUGCUGUCACUAAUAGAUGGAUCGGCGCUGCAUUAGCUAGUCGGUAAGGUAACAGCUUACCAAGGCAACGAUGCAUAUCGGACCUGAGAGGGUGAUCGGCCAAACUGGAACUGAGACACGGUCACGACUCCUACGGGAGGAAGCAGUGGGGAAUAUUCCACAAUGGGCGCAAGCCUGACCCAGCAACACCGCGUGAGUGAUGAAGGUCUUCGGAUCGUAAAACUCUGUUAUUAGGGAAGAACACAUGUAUCAGUAGUUGUCCACCUCGUGACGGUACCUAACGAGAAAGCAACGGCUAACUUCGUG